UCCGUAAGCGGCUAGCAAUUGCCC
Molecule: small nuclear RNA, 24 nt
Filed under: Arabidopsis thaliana (thale cress)
Lineage: Eukaryota; Viridiplantae; Streptophyta; Magnoliopsida; Brassicales; Brassicaceae
Description: snRNA_18922
Source: RNAcentral